UGGAAGGGCAUUUAGUGGAUGCCUUGGCGAUAAGAGGCGAUGAAGGACGUGGUACGCUGCGUUAAGCCAUGGGGAGCUGCGAACAAGCUUUGAUCCAUGGAUAUCCGAAUGGGGAAACCCGGCCCGCAAGGGUCAUCAUUAUCUGAAUACAUAGGGUAAUGAGGCGAACCUGGGGAACUGAAACAUCUAAGUACCCAGAGGAAAGGACAUCAAUUGAGACUUCCUUAGUAGUGGCGAGCGAACGGGAACCAGGCCAGUGGCUUUAGUGAGACAACCGGAACCGUUUGGAAAGACGGGCCAUAGUGGGUGACAGCCCCGUACGGGUAAUUCGAACUUUAGUCCUCGAGUAGGGCGGGACACGUGAAAUCCUGCCUGAACGUGGGGGGACCACCCUCCAAGCCUAAGUACUCCUGUGCGACCGAUAGUGAACCAGUACCGUGAGGGAAAGGUGAAAAGCACCCCGAUGAGGGGAGUGAAAUAGAGCCUGAAACCGAAUGCCUACAAUCUGUGGGAGCCUCCUUGAGGGGUGACCGCGUACCUUUUGUAUAAUGGGUCAGCGAGUUAAUUUUGCGAGCAAGCUUAAGCCGUUAGGUGUAGGCGUAGCGAAAGCGAGUCUUAAUAGGGCGACUAAGUUUGUUGGAUUAGACCCGAAACCGAGUGAUCUAGGUAUGAGCAGGUUGAAGGUGCAGUAACAUGCACUGGAGGACCGAACCCACGCCUGUUGAAAAAGGCGGGGAUGACUUGUGCCUAGGGGUGAAAGGCCAAUCAAACUCGGAAAUAGCUGGUUCUCCGCGAAAUCUAUUUAGGUAGAGCG
Molecule: ribosomal RNA, 814 nt
Filed under: uncultured Symbiodinium
Lineage: Eukaryota; Dinophyceae; Suessiales; Symbiodiniaceae
Description: partial Bacterial large subunit ribosomal RNA
Rfam family: Bacterial large subunit ribosomal RNA
Source: RNAcentral